GUGCAGCAGUCGAGAAUUUUUCUCAAAUGGGGGCAACCCUGAAGGAGCGACGCCGCGUGGAGGAUGAAGGCUUUCGGGUUGUAAACUCCUGUCAUUUGAGAACAAGUGGCCGAACCUAACUACUUCGGCCUUGAUAGUAUCAGAAGAGGAAGGGACGGCUAACUCUGUGCCAGCAGCCGCGGUAAUACAGAGGUCCCAAGCGUUGUUCGGAUUCAUUGGGCGUAAAGGGUGCGUAGGUGGCGCCGUCAGUGGGGUGUGAAAUUUCGGAGCUUAACUCCGAAACUGCAUUCCAUACUGCGGUGCUUGAGGACUGGAGAGGAGACUGGAAUUUACGGUGUAGCAGUGAAAUGCGUAGAGAUCGUAAGGAAGACCAGUGGCGAAGGCGGGUCUCUGGACAGUUCCUGACACUGAGGCACGAAGGCCAGGGGAGCGAAAACGGGAUUAGAUACCCCCGUAGU
This 458-nucleotide ribosomal RNA is filed under the name uncultured organism. RNAcentral's name for it is "bacterial SSU rRNA". It matches the Rfam family "Bacterial small subunit ribosomal RNA", at positions 346 to 794 of the family's 1533-position model. The record is from RNAcentral.